RNAcentral lists this ribosomal RNA (492 nucleotides) under uncultured bacterium. Its description in RNAcentral is "partial 16S ribosomal RNA". It matches the Rfam family "Bacterial small subunit ribosomal RNA", at positions 28 to 507 of the family's 1533-position model. The record is from RNAcentral.
GAUGAACGCUAGCUACAGGCUUAACACAUGCAAGUCGAGGGGAAACGACAUCGAAAGCUUGCUUUUGAUGGGCGUCGACCGGCGCACGGGUGAGUAACGCGUAUCCAACCUGCCCAUCACUUGGGAAUAACCUUGCGAAAGUAAGACUAAUACCCAAUGACAUCCCACGAAGACAUCUGAAUGUGAUUAAAGAUUUAUCGGUGAUGGAUGGGGAUGCGUCUGAUUAGCUUGUUGGCGGGGUAACGGCCCACCAAGGCAACGAUCAGUAGGGGUUCUGAGAGGAAGGGCCCCCACAUUGGAACUGAGACACGGUCCAAACUCCUACGGGAGGCAGCAGUGAGGAAUAUUGGUCAAUGGGCGAGAGCCUGAACCAGCCAAGUAGCGUGCAGGAUGACGGCCCGAUGGGUUGUAAACUGCUUUUAUAAGGGAAUAAAGUGGGUCUCGUGAGACUUUUUGCAUGUACCUUAUGAAUAAGGACCGGCUAAUUCCGUG